AGAACGAACGCUGGCGGCAGGCUUAACACAUGCAAGUCGAACGCUCGUAGCAAUACGGGAGUGGCAGACGGGUGAGUAACGCGUGGGAACAUACCCUCCGGUUCGGAAUAGCUCAGGGAAACUUGGAUUAAUACCGGAUACGGCUGAGAGGCGAAAGAUUUAUCGCCGGAGGAUUGGCCCGCGUUCGAUUAGCUUGUUGGUGGGGUAACGGCCUACCAAGGCGACGACGGGUAGCCGGCCUGAGAGGGCGACCGGCCACACUGGGACUGAGACACGGCCCAGACUCCUACGGGAGGCAGCAGUGGGGAAUAUUGCGCAAUGGGCGAAAGCCUGACGCAGCGACGCCGCGUGGGGAUGAAGGCCUUCGGGUUGUAAACCCCUUUCAGCAGGGACGAAGCGAAAGUGACGGUACCUGCAGAGAGCGCCGCUACUACGCGCCAGCAGCCGC
Molecule: ribosomal RNA, 448 nt
Filed under: uncultured bacterium
Lineage: Bacteria
Description: SSU rRNA
Rfam family: Bacterial small subunit ribosomal RNA
Source: RNAcentral